ACCAAGGCGACGAUGGGUAGCCGGCCUGAGAGGGUGGUCGGCCACACUGGGACUGAGAUACGGCCCAGACUCCUACGGGAGGCAGCAGUCGAGAGGCUUCGGCAAUGGGGGAAACCCUGACCGAGCGACGUCGCGUGGGUGAUGAAGGUUCUCGGACCGUAAAACCCUGUCAGAUGGGAUGAAAUGCCGUUUGGUUAAUAGCCACGCGGCUUGACAGUACCGUCAGAGGAAGCUCCGGCCAACUCCGUGCCAGCAGCCGCGGUAACACGGGGGGAGCAAGCGUUGUUCGGAAUCAUUGGGCGUAAAGAGCUCGUAGGCGGCUCCGUAAGUCAGGGGUGAAAUCCAAUGGCUCAACCAUUGACACGCCUCUGAAACUGCGGACCUUGAGUCCGGAAGAGGAAAGCGGAAUUCCAGGAGUAGCGGUGAAAUGCGUAGAUAUCUGGAAGAACACCAGUGGCGAAGGCGGCUUUCUGGUCCGGUACUGACGCUGAGGAGCGAAAGCCAGGGGAGCGAACGGGAUUAGAUACCCCGGUAGUCCUGGCCGUAAACGAUGGGCACUAGGUGUGGGAAGUUCGACCCUUUCCGUGCCGGAGUUAACGCAUUAAGUGCCCCGCCUGGGGAGUACGACCGCAAGGUUGAAACUCAAAGGAAUUGACGGGGGCCCGCACAAGCGGUGGAGCAUGUGGUUUAAUUCGAUGAUACGCGAAGAACCUUACCGGGGCUUGACAUGCAGUAGACCGCCAUGGAAACAUGGUUUCCCCUUACGGGGCUGUUGCACAGGUGCUGCAUGGUUGUCGUCAGCUCGUGUCGUGAGAUGUUGGGUUAAGUCCCGCAACGAGCGCAACCCUUGUCCUUAGUUGCCAUCAGGUUAUGCUGGGCACUCUACGGAGACUGCCGGUGAUAAACCGGAGGAAGGUGGGGAUGACGUCAAAUCAUCAUGGCCCUUACGUCCCGGGCUACACACGUGCUACAAUGGCCGGCACAGAGGGCUGCGAUACCGCAAGGUGGAGCGAAUCCCAAAAAGCCGGUCUCAGUUCGGAUUGCAGUCUGCAACUCGACUGCAUGAAGUCGGAAUCGCUAGUAAUCGCGGAUCAGCAGGCCGCGGUGAAUACGUUCCCGGGCCUUGUACACACCGCCCGUCAAGUCAACCGAGUUGAGCGCACCCGAAGUCGCUGAACCAACCCCUCGGGGAGGGAGGCGCCGAAGGUGUACUUGAUGAGAGGGACUAAGUCGUAACAAGGUA
RNAcentral lists this ribosomal RNA (1243 nucleotides) under metagenome. RNAcentral's name for it is "bacterial SSU rRNA". It matches the Rfam family "Bacterial small subunit ribosomal RNA", at positions 267 to 1498 of the family's 1533-position model. The record is from RNAcentral.